GAUGAACGCUGGCGGCGUGCCUAACACAUGCAAGUCGAACGGAGUUUUAACGCUGCAGAGGUUUCGGCCAAAGCUUGUUAAAACUUAGUGGCGGACGGGUGAGUAACGCGUGGGCAACCUGCCUCGUACCGGGGGAUAACAGUUGGAAACGGCUGUUAAUACCGCAUAAGCGCACGGUAUCGCAUGAUACAGUGUGAAAAACUCCGGUGGUACGAGAUGGGCCCGCGUCAGAUUAGCUAGUUGGCGGGGUAACGGCCCACCAAGGCGACGAUCUGUAGCCGGACUGAGAGGUCGGACGGCCACAUUGGGACUGAGACACGGCCCAAACUCC
This 331-nucleotide ribosomal RNA is filed under the name uncultured Butyrivibrio sp. RNAcentral's name for it is "bacterial SSU rRNA". It matches the Rfam family "Bacterial small subunit ribosomal RNA", at positions 28 to 339 of the family's 1533-position model. The record is from RNAcentral. Lineage: Bacteria; Bacillati; Bacillota; Clostridia; Lachnospirales; Lachnospiraceae.